AACGCUACACACGCCUAGCAUCUUUAUUAGCAUCUUUGUAGCAUCUCGUUUGCUAUGUAGUUGUGUUGAACGUCACGUAGAAACGACAUGCUGGGAGGCUACCAAAGUAACGCCUUGCAUAGCGUUUCUGUAGCAUCCUAGCAUGUUGUUUCUAGUUGGUGGAUCUCCCUCCUCUGAGCCCUAAUCCAUGGGAACAUGUGUAACUGGAACUGCAGCAGCAUUGAUCAGAGCUCUGCGUAGAUUCAGUGUAACACGCAUAGAUUCAGUGUAACACACAAAGAUUCAUGUAACACACAAAGAUUCAGUGUAACACACAUAGAUUCAGUGUAACACACAUAGAUUCAGUGUAACACACAUAGAUUCAGUGUAACACACAUAGAUUCAGUGUAACACACAUAGAUUCAGUGUAACACACAUAGAUUCAGUGUAACACACAUAGAUUCAGUGUAACACACAAAGAUUCAGUGUAACACACAUAGAUUCAGUGUAACACACAUAGAUUCAGUGUAACACACAUAGAUUCAGUGUAACACACAUAGAUUCAGUGUAACACACAUAGAUUCAGGGUAACACAUAGAUUCAGUGUAACACAGCCACCAUGACUGCAGACAGGAAAGGGGUGGCAGCACAUGGAAUCGGGGGUGACGGUUUUUAUAACCAAAAGCAUGCAGGCCCACACAGACAGACACGCACAUACAGGCACACACACACAGACACACAUUGAUCCUUGCCUAAAUUUAGAUUUUUCUAAAACUGUUAUUCUGCCCUAAAGCACUGAAAAAAACAGGACACUGCCAUCAGCUCCUCUUUCUUUCUUUCUUUCUUUCUGGCCAUGAUGGCCGCACGCCCCUCCUGGCUGUCUGCAGACAACGGCCUGAGUACUACAGUAUUGAUUCUGACUCGUCUGUCAGGGAACAUGGCAUUCAAACGGAUACUCUGUCAACCCCAGCCCCCCUCUGUGUCAUCACGCACACCAGUCAAACCCCUCACUCUCCAGUUAGCUUUGCUGCCCUACAAAACACGCACUGAUGCACACGCGGGUCCGAGAACACGCAGGCACACACAUGGUUAUGCUCACACUGCAGCAUUCAUCUUUGAGUUUAGGUUUGUGUGCUUGCCUGUAUUCAUAGCUGUGUACUGUGCGCACACACACACGCACACACACACACACACACACACACACACACACACACACACACACACACACACACACACACACACACACACACACACACACACACACACACACACACACACACACCCUACCUUCACAA
Molecule: long non-coding RNA, 1274 nt
Organism: Gadus macrocephalus (Pacific cod)
Lineage: Eukaryota; Metazoa; Chordata; Actinopteri; Gadiformes; Gadidae
Exons: 2
Source: RefSeq, a predicted model, not a curated record